Molecule: ribosomal RNA, 497 nt
Filed under: uncultured bacterium
Lineage: Bacteria
Description: partial 16S ribosomal RNA
Rfam family: Bacterial small subunit ribosomal RNA
Source: RNAcentral
GAUGGACGCUGGCGGCGUGCCUAAUACAUGCAAGUCGAGCGAACGGACGAGAAGCUUGCUUCUCUGAUGUUAGCGGCGGACGGGUGAGUAACACGUGGAUAACCUACCUAUAAGACUGGGAUAACUUCGGGAAACCGGAGCUAAUGCCGGAUAAUAUUUUGAACCGCAUGGUUCAAAAGUGAAAGACGGUCUUGCUGUCACUUAUAGAUGGAUCCGCGCUGCAUUAGCUAGUUGGUAAGGUAACGGCUUACCAAGGCAACGAUGCAUAGCCGACCUGAGAGGGUGAUCGGCCACACUGGAACUGAGACACGGUCCAGACUCCUACGGGAGGCAGCAGUAGGGAAUCUUCCGCAAUGGGCGAAAGCCUGACGGAGCAACGCCGCGUGAGUGAUGAAGGUCUUCGGAUCGUAAAACUCUGUUAUUAGGGAAGAACAUAUGUGUAAGUAACUGUGCACAUCUUGACGGUACCUAAUCAGAAAGCCACGGCUAACUACGUG